Molecule: long non-coding RNA, 1290 nt
Organism: Malaclemys terrapin pileata
Lineage: Eukaryota; Metazoa; Chordata; Testudines; Emydidae
Exons: 3
Source: RefSeq, a predicted model, not a curated record
GUAUUGACUCAAGCAGCUGAGCAGCGCGUCUGGGGCUGCAGGCGCUGACUUUCGUUUUUCCUGUGGGUGCUUAAGCCCCAGAGCACCCAUGGAGUCAGUGCCAAUGGGUGGUGCCAACUGCGGUCAAAGCACUGGCGUGUGAGAGAGCCAUUCCUGUGCUCUGGUCGCUCCUAGCCCUGUCUGUGACUCCCUGAGCUUCCACCUCUUCACCUCUCUCUGCCUCAGAGAGUCCCUGGAAAGCGCUCUGAGAUCUACAGCCGGGAGGAGCUGUGUGAAGCAAGCUUCUGACAGCAGAGCUGCUGAGUGGUAAAAAGAUUGUGGCUCUCUAGAUGUUGAGGGAAUGGAACCUCCUUUCUUCUGAGGAUGUCUGAGGUUUUGUGAAGAACACAGGUGUGACAUUAUUGACAUGAACGGUGACCAUAUAGAUCAUUGUUGCAACCACUGUUAUAUAUCUGCAGCAGACAUGUACAAAGGUUGUCGAGUGAGGUGUCUAUGACAAGGUUAUCAUAUAAUCAUAAAAUAUCAGGGUUAGAAGGGACCUCAGGAGGUCAUCUAGUUCAACCCCCUGCUCAAAGCAGGAUCAAUCCCCCCCUAAAUCCCCAAAUGGCCCCCUCAAGGAUUGAACUCACAACCCUGGGUUUAGCAGGCCAAUGCUCAAACCACUGAGCUAUCCCUCCCCCUGGUUAUGAUUAUGCUAUCUGUAUCUGUGUAUUAUUUUUGUAGUUGAAGUUAUGAAUAUUGGCUAUGUAUUUGUAUCUCAAUGUGUUUGAUUCUAAGUAGCAUUAGUGAAGCAUUUGGUCAGCUUCUUGAGAAAGGAAUUUGCAGAUUAAGUGCCCAAUCAAGAAACACUUAACUGACAAUGGCCCUUGGGAGACUCCAAUCCACAUAAGAAGUCUUCCUGGGAACCUUCAAGGUAACAUGUGCAAGGUAACAUGUGAGCAAUGGCUGCUCUCCCUGUAAAAGAACUGAGUCAUGCAUGGACAUGUGACUUGCCCAUGUGACUCCAAACUCCAUCUUGCUGCUGUGAUUUUCCACAGUAAGAACAAAGGAGUGUCCUUCCACAUGGCAGAGGAUAUAAAAGGCUCUGGAAACCCAUCUAUUUGGUCUUCAAUCCUGCUUCUUACCUCUGGAGGAACCUUGCUACAAACUAAAGCUCUGAACAAAGGACUGAAUUCCCAUCCAAGCUGUGGAUGUACUCCAGAGACUUGAUUUGAACCUGCAGUUUAUUCCAUCUCUGCUACAAGCCUGAAUCAAGAACUUUGCUAUUACUGUAGGUAAUUAAUUCCAUUU